ACUACGGGAGGCAGCAGUGAGGGAUAUUGGUCAAUGGGGGAAACCCUGAACCAGCAACGCCGCGUGAGGGAAGACGGUUUUCGGAUUGUAAAGCUCUGUCAGCGGUGAAGAAAAUGACGGUAGCAGAGGAGGAAGCUCCGGCUAACUACGGGCCAGCAGCCGCGGUAAUACGUAGGGAGCAAGCGUUGUCAGGAUUUACUGGGUGUAAAGGGAGCGGAGGCGGCAGUGCAAGUCAGAAGUGAAAUCCCUGGGCUUAACCCCGGAACUGCUUUUGAAACUGCAGAGCUUGAGUGGCGUAGAGGUAGUCGGCAUUCCCGGUGUAGCGGUGAAAUGCGUAGAGCUCGGGAGGCACACCAGUGGCGAAGGCGGCCUGCUGGUCUCUAACUGACGCUGAGGCACGAAAGCGUGGGUAGCAAACAGGAUUAGAUACCCUUGUAGUC
RNAcentral lists this ribosomal RNA (440 nucleotides) under uncultured bacterium. Its description in RNAcentral is "partial 16S ribosomal RNA". It matches the Rfam family "Bacterial small subunit ribosomal RNA", at positions 338 to 795 of the family's 1533-position model. The record is from RNAcentral.